RNAcentral lists this ribosomal RNA (427 nucleotides) under uncultured bacterium. RNAcentral's name for it is "partial 16S ribosomal RNA". It matches the Rfam family "Bacterial small subunit ribosomal RNA", at positions 355 to 774 of the family's 1533-position model. The record is from RNAcentral.
UGGGGAAUAUUGCACAAUGGGCGCAAGCCUGAUGCAGCCAUGCCGCGUGUAUGAAGAAGGCCUUCGGGUUGUAAAGUACUUUCAGCGGGGAGGAAGGGAGUAAAGUUAAUACCUUUGCUCAUUGACGUUACCCGCAGAAGAAGCACCGGCUAACUCCGUGCCAGCAGCCGCGGGAAUACGGAGGGUGCAAGCGUUAAUCGGAAUUACUGGGCGUAAAGCGCACGCAGGCGGUUUGUUAAGUCAGAUGUGAAAUCCCCGGGCUCAACCUGGGAACUGCAUCUGAUACUGGCAAGCUUGAGUCUCGUAGAGGGGGGUAGAAUUCCAGGUGUAGCGGUGAAAUGCGUAGAGAUCUGGAGGAAUACCGGUGGCGAAGGCGGCCCCCUGGACGAAGACUGACGCUCAGGUGCGAAAGCGUGGGGAGCAAACA